GGAAAAUUAAUUUAAAGAUCACUGAACUAUUGGUGUUUUAUUGUCUGGGUCCCUGAAAUAAAGAUUCCAAUAUCCGGGUCACUUACGUUUUCAGUUUUCUUGCUUGGGUCCUUCCGUUAACUGAGAUUCUAACAGACGUUAGAAUCUCGAUGACGUGGUAGAAUUGUUGACACGUGUAUAUUAAUUUUAUUUUAAAGGUCCCUAAACUAUUAGUAAUUUUCUUAUGUGAGUCCUUCCAUUGAUUUAAACGAAACUAAGCACUUUUUUCCUUUAUCAUUCGAAAUUUAUUAUGUAUUAAGAUACUAACAUUUAAUCGGUUUAGAAGGUAUUCAAUUUUUAGUACAACUUAAGUUUUUUAAUUUGUAAUUAUUUUAAACGUCUAAUAGAUAAUAUUAUGUGUAACACCAAUUGGAAUUCUUGCAAAAUUAAUAUUGAUAGUUAUUUGACAAAUUAAUAUUGAAUUGUAACAUGGCUUUUAAGUUAAAUAAAUUCAAAAUUGAUUUGUUAUUAGAGUUUUUGACAAUGAUCCUGUUUGGGGAUUAGCUGUUAGCGGUUAACUAUUAGCGGAUUGAAUCAGAUGUUUUGACUAGCGGAUUGAAAUAGAUUUUUUGACUAGCGGAUUGAAUUAGCUGUUUCUCGUAAAACUGUUUGAUUAAUAGCGGAUUGAUUAGUUUUUUCUGACACAAACCAAAAUCUCUAACCCAAAAAACUCCUCAAAGUAGCUUUUUCAAAAUUAACUUUGUGGGUCCAAACCUCUAUUUAAAUUCGCUAACUACCAAACAUUUAUAUUAGCGGAUUUUAGUGGUCAAACCUCUAAAUCACCCUAAACCACUAAUUUUGGCCCAAAUCUCUAACUUCCAAAUAGGGCCAAUAUCUUGUGAGGCCUUUUUUUUAAUAGGACUAUAACCUUUGUGUUUGUUAUGACAAUGUUCUUGGUAAGUCUCUUUUACAUGUCAUUUAUUAUAUGAUAAAAAAAACUAAUAAACAAUAAAUUAAGAUACAUAGAAACACGAGUUAAAACCUAAUAUAACACAAUAAAAUAAAUAAUAUUAAUUGAUUAAUUAAUAAACAUUAAUUUAUUUAUUGUGUAAAAUAAACAUUAAUAUAUUUAUUGUGUUAUAUUAAUAAAUAUAUUAAUGUUUAUUUUACUGUGUUAUAUUAAUGUUUUUCUAUUAUCUAUUAGACCUUUAAAAUAAUUCCGAAUUAAAAAGUUUAAGUUGUACUAAAAAUUGAAUACCUUCUAAGUCUAUUAAAUUUUAGUAUCUUAAUACAUACUAAAUUUUAAAUUAAUGAAAGGACUCAGAUAAGAAAAUUAUUAAUAGUUCAGGGACUUCUAAAAUAAAAUUCAUAUACACGUGUCAACAAGUCUGCCACGUCAGCGAGAUUCUAACGUCCGUUAGAAUCUUAGUUAACGGAAUGACUCAAAUAAAAAAACUGAAAACAUAAGUGAUCCGAAUAUUGGAAUCUUUAUUUCAGGGACCUAAACAAUAAAUCACCAAUAGUUCAGGGACUUUUAAAUUAAU
RNAcentral lists this long non-coding RNA (1523 nucleotides) under Daucus carota (carrot). RNAcentral's name for it is "long non-coding RNA (DCAR_LNC004789)". The record is from RNAcentral. Lineage: Eukaryota; Viridiplantae; Streptophyta; Magnoliopsida; Apiales; Apiaceae.